CUGCUUGGAGCAAUUUCAAUCCCUUCUAUUGCACAGCUGCUCACUAUGCAACAACCAGGACAGUACGAGUGGUUCGUCAGCCACUGAACCCAGCCACUCCACCUAACAUUAUCAUCAGCACACCACGCCUAAUGGAUUUUGUGGGGUCCCCCUUAAAUGCCACCAUCACCUGCAAUGCUAUUAAUCUGCACACUGAGAAAACCACGCUCCAGUGGCUGAGGGAUGAAGCAGUUCUUGAAUCGGAUGGCCCCACUACCAUUUCAACCUCAAAAUGCAAUCACAGCCUGAGGAGUGAGCUAACAGUCACCAAGAGAGACUGGGACAACGGCAAGAAGUUUUCCUGCAAGGUGUUCAACAAGAAAUUCAAUGGGAUAAGGAACAUCAGCAAACCCCUUAUAUGUGGCAAUCUUCCUGUCCCUGUCAAAGUUGAGACCAUCCAGCCUUCCUUUGUUGAUAUUUUCCAAGCCAAGACGGCCAUUCUGACCUGCAGAAUUUCGAACAUACCUAAGGACCAAGAUCUUAAGGAGCUGAAAGUCACCUGGACACGAGCAGAUGAUGGCCAACCCCUAGAGACUAUCCUUAAACAGUCCCAAGAACAAGAAAGCAGUGGGAUGCUAUUCAAGGAUGCAGUAGCUACGGUGCAUGCAGAUGAGUGGAACAAAGGGGAAACUUUCAACUGCAAAAUUAUUCACCCAGCUUUAUUUCCCUCAAUGGAAGUCAGAUCCUUGCGCAAGCCUCAAGAUGGCAACCCCUCUGCUCCACAUAUCUACAUCCUUCCUCCUCCUUCGGAUCAGCUGGCUCUGCAGGAAACAGCCACCGUCACUUGUUUGAUGAAAGAUUUCUCCCCUCCUGAGUUCUUUGUCAAAUGGCUGCGGAAUGAUGAGCCCGUGGAUGCUUCCAAAUACUUCACCAGCACAGCCACCCAGGAGUCCAAGGCACCCAAGCGGUAUUAUGCCUAUAGCAUGCUGAACGUCAACGCAGAAGAGUGGAAUUCUGGAACUACUUACACUUGUGUGGUGGGGCAUGAGAUGUUGCCCCUCCAGACGUCUCAGAAGACCAUAGACAAGAAUACGGAUCUCCUUGUGCCUGUCAAGGUUGAGACCAUCCAGCCUUCCUUUGUUGAUAUUUUCCAAACCAAGAUGGCCAAUCUGACCUGCAGAAUUUCGAACAUACCUGAGGAGCAAGAUCUUAAGGAGCUGAAAGUCACCUGGACACGAGCAGAUGAUGGCCAACCCCUAGAGACUAUCCUUAAACCUUCCCAAGAACAAGAAAGCAGUGGGCUGCUAUUCAAGGAUGCAGUAGCUACGGUGUGUGCAGAUGAGUGGAACAAAGGGGAAACUUUCAAAUGCAAAAUUAUUCACCCAGCUUUAUUUCCCUCAAUGGAAGUCAGAUCCCUGCGCAAGCCUCAAGAUGGCAACCCCUCUGCUCCACAUAUCUACAUCCUUCCUCCUCCUUCGGAUCAGCUGGCUCUGCAGGAAACAGCCACCGUCACUUGUGUGGUGAAAGGUUUCUCCCCUAGUGAGUUCUUUGUCAAAUGGCUGCGGAAUGAUGAGCCCGUAGAUGAUUCCGAAUACUUCACUAGCACAGCCACCCAGGAGUCCAAGGCACCCAAGCGGUAUUAUGCCUAUAGCAUGUUGAACGUCAACGCAGAAGAGUGGAAUUCUGGAACUACUUACACUUGUGUGGUGGGGCAUGAGAUGUUGCCCCUCCAGACGUCUCAGAAGACCGUAGACAAGAAUACGGAAAAAUCUGAUCUGCAUGUAUCAUCCAAAGCUUAUCUAGAUGUGAUCGUGGAUGCUGAUGACGAUGAAGAACUCCAAAACAUCUCAUCAAUCCUUUCCACUUUCAUCAUCCUUUUCCUUGUGAGCCUUUUCUACAGUGUCAUUGUAACUGUCUUCAAGGUGAAAUAACAAAGUGAAGAGGGACAAUAAGUUGCCUAACAUAAAAGACUGUCCAUUCUUUCAAUUUCUUUCAUCACCAGCACAAUCAAGGAUUUAAUAAUUCUCCAUUCACUUUUGGGGAAAGGUUGACUGGACAGAUGGCAUUUGUCUUCGCUUUGUCUCAUCAUGUAGCUGGGAGCAAGUCCUAUCAAACUAAACGGGACUAAUAUAUGACUAGACAUGCAUGGCCUUUUGCUGCCAGUGUUCCAUUUGAACUGGACCUAUUGGACUGGUUGUUUAUCCUUCAAACAUGUAUGCUAUAAUUUUGCCUUCCUUCAGUGUGUGUGUGUGUGUGUGUGUGUGUGUGUGUGUGUUGUAUUCAGCUAAGUACUACUUAAAG
Non-coding RNA from Podarcis raffonei (Aeolian wall lizard), 2280 nucleotides. The record is from the annotation of a RefSeq genome assembly. NCBI's taxonomy places the organism in Eukaryota, Metazoa, Chordata, Lepidosauria, Squamata, Lacertidae.